GACGAACGCUGGCGGCGUGCUUAACACAUGCAAGUCGAACGGAAAGGCCCUGCAUUUUUGGUUUGCUCGAGUUGCGAACGGGUGCGUAACACUUGCGUAACCUGCCCUUGCCUUUGGGAUAACUUCAGGAAACUGGGGCUAAUACCGGAUAGGAGCUCCUGCUGCAUGGUGGGGGUUUGAAAGUUUCGGCGGUUGGGGAUGUACUCGCGGCUUAUCAGCUUGUUGGUGGGGUAGUGGAUUACCAAGGCUUUGACGGGUAGCCGGCCUGAGAGGGUGACCGGCCACAUUGGGACUGAGAUACGGCCCAGACGCCUACGGGAGGCAGCAGUGGGGAAUAUUGCAAAAUGGGCGGAAGCCGGAUGCAGCAACGCCGCGUGCGGGAUGACGGCCUUCGGGUUGUAAACCGCUUUCGCCUGUGACGAAGCGUGAGUGACGGUAAUGGGUAAAGAAGCACCGGCUAACUACGUG
This 468-nucleotide ribosomal RNA is filed under the name uncultured bacterium. Its description in RNAcentral is "partial 16S ribosomal RNA". It matches the Rfam family "Bacterial small subunit ribosomal RNA", at positions 28 to 507 of the family's 1533-position model. The record is from RNAcentral.